This 1315-nucleotide long non-coding RNA is filed under the name Citrus x clementina. RNAcentral describes it as "Citrus clementina (C. clementina) long non-coding RNA (CCLE_LNC004545)". The record is from RNAcentral. Lineage: Eukaryota; Viridiplantae; Streptophyta; Magnoliopsida; Sapindales; Rutaceae.
CUAAUAACAAAAUACAUACUGCUUUUAUAUUUGUUCACAACAGAAUACAUUCUAAUAAAGAAAUUCUCCCCAUGUUUAAUCAAAACGAACUCACAAAAUUUGUUCACAACAUAAUACAUUAUAAUAAAGAAAUUCUCUGUGAUUUUUUCCCCAUGAUGAUCAGAAUGAUUCUUUGAAGUAAUUAUGCUCUCCUCGCCAAAUUCUUUCCCUAGAUAAAGAAAAUCCAACGAAACAGUUCACACAGAAAUACCGCUUCUAACGCAAGAACUAAAAGAUCCAAAGGCUUCAUCCUCAUCAAUGAUCACUGAUUUGAUGUAGAGAAGAACAAGAUAAUUCACAUGAGACUGCAAACAACUCAAAAGGAUGAAAGGAUGCAGUUUUAAUAAUGCGAUGAUGCAGCCCACCCCCUCCUUUUCUCCUUCUCUCAUUCACACGCAUGCAAACAAAGCAAGAGAAUCAUUAAAGUUCAAUGAAAAAUAUUUUCUGACCAUACUGAGGACGUUUGAUGGUUAUGAAAUGACAACAUCAGAUCAUAAAAAUAAGAGAAAUAAAAUCAAAACAUACCUCAGGAGACUUGAGAAUGAGAGAUUGAGAUUGAGAGAAUUGAGAAUGAUAGGAAUUAGGAAGCACUGGAGGUGGAGGUGGAGGUGGAGGCAGUUGUGAGUGUUGGAAAAUUAGGUUUGUGUUUUUGUUUUUAUAGUAAGAGAUAUGCUAUUGUGUAUGAAAGUGUACAUUUCCUUUGUUAAUAAUCCAAUACGAAAUUGACACAUCAUAUAUCUUAAAGCUUUUUAAAUUUUGGAUUGGAUCGGUUUGAAUCCAUUUGAAAUCCUUCCAAACCAAAAUCCAAACCGAGUGAUGUCGGUUUACAAUCCAAUAAACCAAAACCAGUGUUUUUACUAAUGAAACCGAUCCAAACCGAUCCAAAUGGUCGGUUUGGAUCAGUUUGGAUCGGUUCGGUUAAAAUAUGCCCACCCCUAGUUUGGGAGAGAUGAGUGAAAGAGAGAUUGUUGGGGGAGAGAUGAGAGAGGGGUAUUUUGGUCUCAAAGGUUUUUUUAUGGCUAAUGUUGAUAGAAAUUUAUUUGGGGGGUUAAGAUGGAAAAAGUAAAAAUUUUUAUGGUUAUUGGUGUAAAUUUCCCCAUUUCACUAUGCACACCUAUUUGCUGAGUUAUGAAUUUUAUCUAUUAUUUUGCACACUCAUAUAAUGAAUUUUGAAAAUUACCUUUUACUUGCACAGCCCUUCGAAUUCCAAAAUAAUCACCAAUUAAAGCUCAUCUUCCUUUAAAACAUAUAUAUGCAUGUGUGUGCAUGUGCGUAU